UACCAAACCUUUUUGUCAGGGUGCUUCUCUAUCCGUUUUAGGAUAAACUUAUCUACAGAAGUGUCUGUUACUGUUUUGGAAGAGUAAUACUGUUCGCUUAUCCAUAUUUCCCCGUUCUGGGGAAGCCUAAUGGGUAAAUUAGAAGGACAACCUUUGUUUUAAAGGUAUACCUUCGCUUUUUAGAACAGUGAGGAUCUUAUGAGUUGAGCUUUUGUUACUUGAGACUUUAUCUCGGGCUCCAUACAAUAUGUUCGUAGUAAAGAUCCUCACAAUU
RNAcentral lists this small nucleolar RNA (274 nucleotides) under Saccharomyces cerevisiae (brewer's yeast). It matches the Rfam family "Small nucleolar RNA snR191". The record is from RNAcentral. Lineage: Eukaryota; Fungi; Ascomycota; Saccharomycetes; Saccharomycetales; Saccharomycetaceae. RNAcentral also lists the same sequence under 13 other names.